AUUUGAGAGUUUGAUCCUGGCUCAGGACGAACGCUGGCGGCGUGCCUAAUACAUGCAAGUUGAGCGAUGAAGAUUGGUGCUUGCACCAAUUUGAAGAGCAGCGAACGGGUGAGUAACGCGUGGGGAAUCUGCCUUUGAGCGGGGGACAACAUUUGGAAACGAAUGCUAAUACCGCAUAACAACUUUAAACAUAAGUUUUAAGUUUGAAAGAUGCAAUUGCAUCACUCAAAGAUGAUCCCGCGUUGUAUUAGCUAGUUGGUGAGGUAAAGGCUCACCAAGGCGAUGAUACAUAGCCGACCUGAGAGGGUGAUCGGCCACAUUGGGACUGAGACACGGCCCAAACUCCUACGGGAGGCAGCAGUAGGGAAUCUUCGGCAAUGGACGAAAGUCUGACCGAGCAACGCCGCGUGAGUGAAGAAGGUUUUCGGAUCGUAAAACUCUGUUGGUAGAGAAGAACGUUGGUGAGAGUGGAAAGCUCAUC
RNAcentral lists this ribosomal RNA (481 nucleotides) under Lactococcus cremoris subsp. cremoris TIFN6. RNAcentral describes it as "bacterial SSU rRNA". It matches the Rfam family "Bacterial small subunit ribosomal RNA", at positions 1 to 469 of the family's 1533-position model. Lineage: Bacteria; Bacillati; Bacillota; Bacilli; Lactobacillales; Streptococcaceae. The record is from RNAcentral.